ACCUCCGGUUAGAAUGUGAUGUGUUGCUUGUCUGCCUGCUUCACCUCCUGGGACUUUGCUGCAGGUCUUGGUCUCUGAGGCCCCUGCGGUGUCCCCAGGGCCCAGAGCAGAGCUGGGCUUCGAGUCUGAUCAGGGACUAUGUGUGUGGAGUGGAUGGUGCUUGCUUCUUCUGGGGAGAGAGAGACCUGGGCCAGGGGGACAAGGGGACCUAGUGUGACCGGUUUUCCUUCCCUCCGGAGAGGAUCUGAGCGAGUGGACACAGGAUGGAGCUGUGAGGUGGCCUCUAAUAUUGCCAACAUCGACCAGAUCAGACCCAGAGAGAGAGAGAAUUGCUGAGAUACCUUGGCACCUCCGCGGUAGAGAAGUUUGUCAGCCCAGGUCUUCCCACCUACACGGACUGUGCGUUCAUCUGCCACGUAAUUCUUCCUGUCCGAAGAACUGGUUAAACACUCUUGAAGUUUAUUCUGGUCUGUUUCAAAAAGUACCUCUUUCCUUCUUAAGUUCUGCCAAUCCUGGACUUUGUCCCAGGGGCUCAGUAGCCUUUCUGCCUGAGUGUGGAGCUGGAAUUGUGAGAGAGUUUCGUGGAUUUAGACAUGACCUAGGACUUAGAGGGGUCACGAGCAGGGACCGCUCAUCCCAGUGCUCUGGGGCCUCCGGUGUGCAGAGGCGGCGCCUCUGAGCUGAGCAGGGCGAGCCUGGUGUGUCCCUCAUGGUCAACAUGCCCUCUGUCAACUGGGACAAUAUGAGGACUGCAGCCCAGGAGACAGCCCCUCAGAGAGCUCUGAGAAACUGCCCCGAAGAGGCGGGGGGAGAAAGGUCAGCAUGUGUGUGAUUUCGGCUAAGGGGAAAGACAUGCGACCAAGCACACAUCUUUCCAGAAGAUUUCUACCAGUCUUGUGACAGCUUUGCUAGGCACAAGGAACAAUCAUCACCACGAAGAAUUUUAGUGCUUUUCUAGAUGUGGGAACGUACGAGAACUGGGCUCAUAAAAUCAGCUCCUGAGAACGUCUUAACUGUCUGAAGACCUAUCCUGCCAGUUCCCCCACCCUGCUCCCAGCACAGAGGCCUCAUUUCUGCUCUUCACCCUGAACGCCUUUCAUCGGGUGUUGACGGUCAGCAGCUGCAGCCGCACGUGGUUUAAUCCUUGUAGAAGUAGGCGGCAGGUGCCCUUGGCAAGUGCUAGUUUGUAGCUGACACCUCUGAAGUGGGCAGUGGCAGCCCUGAUGGACUUGGAGCCUCCUUGAGGGGUGAGACGGGGGCAGAGGUCAAAGGGGAAAGGAGAGAGGUUAGAAGCUGCUGCGGCUUUGAAGCGGAGGGGAAGAGUUGAGCCGAGGACUGGGCUCAUCUAGAUGCUGGAAGUUCUCGGGUCACGGUUCACGAUUGCUGAAGCCUGGCUUGAAGGAUUCUGAGCAUAGCAUCCCUAGCAUGUGUGCAACUGUAUGAUAGUUUGAAUAGUCUUUGGCAUUGACCUUCUUUGGGAUUGGACACUGACACUGAUCAAUCCAAUGAAAACUGACCAUUUCCAGUCCUGUGGCCACUGCUGAGUUUUUCAAAUUUGCUGACAUAUUGAAUGCAGCAAUAUGGUCUUCCCUUGCAGCUCAGCUGGUAAAGAACCUGCCUGCAAUGCGGGAGACCUGGGUUUGAUCCCUGGGUUGGGAAGAUCCCCUGGAGAAGAGAAAGGCUACCCACUCUACUAUUCUGGCCUAGAGAAUUCCAUGGGGUCCAUGGGGUCGCAAAGAGUCAGACGCGACUGAGCGACUUCCACUUCUUGAAUGCAGCAUUUUAAAAGCAUCCUCUGUGAGGAUUUUAAAUAGCUCAGCUGGAAUUCUGUCACCUCCACUAGCUUUGUUCAUAGUAAUGCUUCCUACGGCUUCUAGCUAGCCUUCGGCAGCAUGUGAACCGAGAACUUCCAGAUGUACAAGCUGGAUUUAGAAAAGGCAGAGGAACCAGAGGUCAAAUUGCCAACAUCCAUUGGAUCAUAGAGAAAGCAAGGGAAUUCCAAAAUACAGCCUUGGACAUCACUUAAUACUUCUACUUCAUUAACUACACUAAAGCCUUUGACUGUGUGGGUCACAACAAACUGUAGAAAAUUCUUAAAGAGAUGGGAGUACUGGGCCAUCUUACCUGCCUUCUGAGAAACCUGUAUGCAGGUCAAGAAGCAACAGUUAGAACUGGACAUGGCACAAUGGACUGGCUCCAAAUGGGAAAGUAGUACGUCAAGGCUGUAUAUUGUCACCCUGCUUAUUUAACUUAUAUGCAGGGUACAUCAUGUGAAGUUCUGGGCUGAAUGAAUCACAAGCUAGAAUUAAGAUUAAUGGGAGAAAUAUCAAUAACCUCAGAUAUGCAGAUGAUACCUCUUUAAUGGCAGAAAAUGUAGAGAAACUAAACAGCCUCUUCAUGAGGAUGAACAAAGAGAGUGAAAAAGCUGGCUUAAAACUUAAUAUUCAAAAAUCUAAGAUCAUGGCAUCCAGUCCCAUCACUUCAUGGCAAAUAGAAGGGGAAAAAGUAAAAGAUUUUUUUGGCGGGGGGCAGGGAGCUCCAAAAUCACUGUGGCCAGUGACUGAAGCCAUGAAAUUAAAAGACGCUUGCUCCGUGAAAGGAAAGCUAUAACAAACCUAGACAGUGUAUUAAAAAGCAGAGACAUCACUUUGCUGACAAAGAUCCAUGUAGUCAACGCCAUGGUUUUUCCAGUAGUCAUAUACAGAUGUGAGAGUUGGACCAUAAAGAAGGCUGAGCACCAAAGAAUAGAUACUUUUGAACUGUGGUGCUGGAGAAAACUCUUGAGAGUCCCUUGGACUUCACAGAGAUCAAGCUAGUCCAUCCUAAAGGAAACCAAGCCUGAAUAUUCAUUGAAGGGACUGAUGCUGAAGCUGAAGCUCCAGUCCUUUGGCCACCUGAUGGGAAAAGACCCUGAUGCUGGGAAAAUUUGAGGGCAGAAGGAGAACGGGGUGGCAGAGGAUGAGAUGGUGAGAUAGCAUCACCGGCUCAAUGGCCAUUAAUUUGAGCAAACUGCAAGAGAUGGUGAAGGACGGGGGGGCCUGUCCUACUGCAGCUCACGGGGUUGCAAAGAGUCAUACACGACUUAGCGACAAACAACAGAGGAUGGAAAAGACCCCCGGGAGGAUCUCGGCCCUGAGAUACCUUGAAUUUAGCCUGUAGGACUCAUUUUGUACUUUUGCACCCUGACCUGUAAGAAUAAAUGUGUAUUGCUUAAA
This is a long non-coding RNA of Dama dama (fallow deer), 3215 nucleotides long. RefSeq lists it as uncharacterized. Lineage: Eukaryota; Metazoa; Chordata; Mammalia; Artiodactyla; Cervidae. The transcript is spliced from 4 exons. The record is from RefSeq and is a predicted model, not a curated record.